Molecule: long non-coding RNA, 1618 nt
Filed under: Lynx pardinus (Iberian lynx)
Lineage: Eukaryota; Metazoa; Chordata; Mammalia; Carnivora; Felidae
Source: RNAcentral
GCGGGCGAGGCGCACGUGGCCCCGGGACUGUGCCACGGACAGAGGCAGCCGGCCCAGUGAGUCGGGAAUGCUCAGCGCCUGUCUGUUCCAGCGGAAGAGGAGCACGGCGGCUUCCAGGUGUCCCAGGGCACAGGCCCACAUCUGAGGGUGGAGAGCGUGGACGUGAGGCCCGGGGCCCUUCCUCCCCAGGCCGGGUCUUCAGUUCCCAGCUCCACCGGCUCCUUCCCUGUGUCCCUCGACACUUUCCCACGGCCACGCGCCUGGCCCGCGCUGCCCCACGCACGCUCACCAGCGGGGUGCAAGAGAAGUGGUCCACGUUGAGCGGGUCAGCCUCUUGCUCUAAGUCCAGGCUCCCUGUCCCCACGCUCCUAGAGGGUUUGGGACAGGGACACGAGCCCAGUCGGUAAAAGCGGCAAAGCAGGCGCAUCACGAUCAAAGGAACGGGGGAGGAGGGCAGGCUGUCCAGGAGCACCGAGGUCAGUGCAGCAAGACGGUCAGAGACGCAUAAUGUGAGGGGCUGAGAGUCUGUCACGAGUGCAGAUCCUUCCCUCUUGGUGGGGCUCCGGGUCCUCUGGUCCCUCCUCCGUCCCCUGGUACUUCUGCCCCAGUCCCCCUGCCCGCCGCCCUGCUCACCGCCACUGGCUCAGGGUCUCGAUGAGACGGGCGUAGCCCUGGGCAGCAGCCAGGUGCAGGAGGCUCAUGCCCCGGAAGGGGCUUCCGUGGGCCAGACGUUCAGGACCCCUCCAGGUGGAGCGAGGGAUCAUGCUCUCUACCAACACCACCACACGGGCCUCGAACCCGGGUCCCUGGCCUUCGUCCUGCAGUACAGAUACCCUUGUGCAGGGACCCGAGCGUCUGGUCCCCUGGCUCAGGAUGGCCCUGGCCGCCCCACCCCUGUCCUCUCCGCUUCCUGUCCUGCCCUCCCCACACCUCCCGCACCAGCUUUCCUGCCACCUAGAGCUCUCUGGGCCAUCCGUGUCCCUGGUUUAGGGUCCUGGGUGUCCCCCACCCCCAGUUAGCUUCCUCCCCCGCAGACGGCUUCUCCCUCUCGGAGCCCGGAGUCCUCUCCCCGUCUGCUUCCUCGGAGACUUGGGCCCCUGCUCUCCUGGCCCCCUCCCCCCACCCUCUUCAGAUCAGAAAUAGUCUGAAGCCCGUCGUGCCAAGAGGGUGCCCAGAAUAGCCACUCCCGCCCCGCGGUGGAGCCGGAGUGGGGUGACGUCAGGGAGGAGGAAGCCGGGGACGGGAGAGCCACACACGAGCGCCAUCUCCUCCGGGAAGACCCUCCCGAGCUCCCUCCUCACACAGGUACCUGAAUCGGAGGCACGGCAGGACUGCGGCAGGGAGCCUGCCCGGCUGCUGCCAGGUCGGCCAUCCGUUUCUCCAUCUGCUCCAGCCGCUCCAGGAUGGACAUCCGGAACUGGUUGUCUGAGGGGCAAGAGGUACGGGAGGAGGCUGAGCGGUGGGUAGGGUCCGGGUGAUGCCCCGAACACAACUGGGCCUGUCCCAGGCUCUGGGGGUGAAGAGGCAGACUCACGUUCUUUCCUCUCCCCCAGAACGACGGCCCCUCUGCCCCACCCUCCCCGCCCCAAAUACGGUCCAUCAGGACGCAGGCCUUAAA